UACCAGCACCCCGAGUGGUCGGGACGAUUAUUGGGCCUAAAGCAUCCGUAGCCGGUUUUACAAGUCCUCCGUUAAAUCCAGCUGCUUAACAGAUGGGCUGCGGAGGAUACUAUAAGACUAGGAGGCAGGAGAGGCAAGCGGUACUCAGUGGGCAGGGGUAAAAUCCGUUGAUCCAUUGAAGACCACCAGUGGCGAAGGCGGCUUGCCAGAAUGCGCUCGACGGUGAGGGAUGAAAGCUGGGGGAGCAAACCGG
Molecule: ribosomal RNA, 253 nt
Filed under: uncultured bacterium
Lineage: Bacteria
Description: partial 16S ribosomal RNA
Rfam family: Archaeal small subunit ribosomal RNA
Source: RNAcentral